GGGUCAGUAGGUUGGUCGUGCCUCCGGUACGUACUGGUCUCACUGAUUCCUCCUUCCUGAAGAACCGUAAUGCCAUUAAUUUGGUGUUGCGGGGAAACAGGACUGUUACUUUGAAAAAAUUAGAGUGUUUAAAGCAAGCUAACGCUUGAAUACAUUAGCAUUGAAUAAUGAAAUAGGACGAUCGAUCCUAUUUUGUUGGUUUCUAGGAUUGACGUA
RNAcentral lists this ribosomal RNA (216 nucleotides) under Glomeromycotina sp. Its description in RNAcentral is "partial small subunit ribosomal RNA". The stretch from base 40 to 216 matches the Rfam family "Eukaryotic small subunit ribosomal RNA", at positions 686 to 864 of the family's 1831-position model. Lineage: Eukaryota; Fungi; Glomeromycota. The record is from RNAcentral.